GCUCUUUGUCAGCGGGCUGAGACACGGGAGGAAGCGGGCGGCGGCGGGAAGCAGGGAAGUGGCGGUGGCGAGGUAGGGAAGCGGCGGCGGGACCGGUUGCUCGGAGGGAGCUAGACAAAGAAUUCUAGAGAGCUCUGGCGGGGUCGGGGCUCUGUCCAUCGGUGGCUCUAGACUCUAGCCUCUACUCGGCGGAGGCGACUCCUUGCUCUCCUCGGCGGCGGAGGUCCAGCAGCAACACGGUGUGGCGGCGGAGGUCCAGCGGCGGCAGUGCGUGACGGAGUCCACAAGCAAAACGUGUACAAGUAUCACCCGUUGGAGCUCCAGUAGGAGUGAAGCUCGCGCCGCUCUAGGAGUUCCAGCAGUAGUAGUGUCUGUUCCCGUGACCGUCUAGGUUACCGCCGUCUAAGCUCCGCCUCCGCCGGUAAUCCCGCACGAAGUCAGGCAUGGGCUACUAACCGCCGGCCUCCCGUUGACGUUGGAGCGUACGGAGCCCAGGUCUCCAGGUUCCGUGGUGUUGGUUGACGGAGAAGUCGGUAUACGACCCACAGGCACAACUUGCAUCGUCUACCAACGGGAAGUUCGUAGUUGUUUAACCUUUAAAGUUCGGGACUACUCUAAUGUUCGUCCCGUCUUUCCCUUAGUUGUGGUAGUGCGGUUUUGUAACUUCCACUUAUUCACUUGGUAAUAAAUUCAUUUAUCUGCUUAGUAUAAAACAAUCUUGAUUGGUCAACGACGAUUAUAUUAGGAGAGGUCCUUCUAGUCAAAGUCUGUUAUAUUAGACGAUAAAUGAAAGAUUAAAGAUACAUAAAUUCGUACAAGUUUGAGUCAUGUUAACAUGUUUACCUAUAUAAAACUAAACCACUGAACGAUUUCUGCUAACAAGACCUGUCUUGGACCUGGAAUACUAUAGAUGGAUAUAUAUACAAAGACCGGCGUACAGAUGAAUAAGAGAAUUCCGGUGUCAUCCUGGCUAGCUGUGAUCUAUAUAGAUUAUUGACAUAGUACCAAAAGCGUUUUUUUUAAUUUUUUAUUGAUAGUACCCUAGUGUACGGUAAGAAAAACGACUUUUUAGUGGACCGAAAUAACCUUUACUUAAUGGUCCUGUCUAGGACACGUGUAAUACGAACCGAUUGUGGAAAGUAAAUAGUGUUUGACUACCCCUUAUUUGUGAUUCAUACGUACAGAAAGAUAGGAAGACUAGUAUCGGUAGAAACCACAGUUCACUAUAAUUUUAAGACUUUGAUGUGUGUGUAUCAAAUCCCCAACAGGUAUGUUAUUAGACGUAUUCAUACACAGAUAUUUUAGUCGUCGUCACCAACAAGGAAAUCCAACGAUCUUUACGAAAAUCGAUGUUGUAAUAAAGACAGUUUUUGUAAGGUCGACGGUGUACACAUGAGCAAAGUAACACAUCGCAUAAAGGCUUUUACUAUUAAGGAUGCUAAGUUUCAAAAACCUGUUUCAAACUUUGAGCUUCCUGCUGACGGCAUCAUCCUGCUUCUUUACUACAGCGCGUGACCUCCCACAACGGCAGCCAGCACGCAAUCCGCAGACAAGAUGACUUUCAGCGAGGGUCCUCCCGCAGGUACCAGAUACGGAGCUCUUCGUUUCUUCCCUGAGGUUGAUGUAGUAACUGUGUCGUCGGCUCGUCUCGUACUUUCGUACAGCAACUAUGUUUAUAAGUCAACGGUGCCGGUAACUAUGUUGUCGCCCCGUCUAGUACUUACAGUCUCUGUGCCACCUCCACUGCGAUGGAAAGAGCAGAACCGUAGUACGUCUAUGACCAUCAAAUCUACAAUAAACGGUGUGGCGCCUCUAGAGUACAAGUUCGGGUAGCCUUCACGUAUUAAAACCACUUCCAGCUACAUUUACUAAAAUGAACUCAACUGUGAAGAGGAGGCCAGAGUAAAUGGUAGUCAUAACCUUAACCUACAGCAAGGAUAAUGUGUUGUUUUACCCGUUCCAAUCCAACGCCAAGUCACACCGUAAGACCGUAUACAAAGCCCCAUGACCUCCUCUAGGAAAACCACGUGGAUGUUUCUUGACCGGAACCCUCCUACCGUGUUUAAGGGACCGGUACCGAUUCUCUUCUUCAUACCCUUAAUGGACUAGAACACAGAAUCCAGGUACCGACCUUAGUUGUUGAAUACGAAGCUAAAGACAAAGCCACUAUAGAGUUAAGCUCAAGUACUUCUUCGAACCUCAACUGUCCACCACGAAGGUACUGUCCCUGUAGCGGGGACUACCCUUUUGUGAGCGCCAUACUAAAAUAAUCUUACUAAGAACUUCAACGUUCAACGUUGGAGCUCAAUCCCCUUAACUCUGCCCAUCACUGGCUGUAAUCUCGUCCAAAUAAUACUAACAUAAAUGUUCCCAUGUACUGAUACAAAAGUUGUGUUCCUUAUACCAAUAACUACCAAAUGCGGGGCCGACGCGGGUGUAGCAGGGCUGUGGUUCAAGUUCUGGUUCAAGAUUGGGGACAUGGGUUAGAUGGAGGUACCUAGCACAGAGAGUGAUGGGUUCUCGUAGUUAAGUUGAGUUAUCUAACUGUUUUCUCUACUUGGAUCUCAAACUCCGAACCCAUCACACCUGUAACUGGAUUACUACUCACAACAUACCACCAGUUCACCACGGUGAAGGGGAGCGGUGUGCGACGAAUCAGACGAGUAACUUCCACGAGAGACAACCACAAACCGACGACGACGAUGACAUCCAGUUCCCGUACGAUACUAAUGAAACCACCUCUGUAUAAAUUCUUACCACAAUAGUGACUUACGGGGACUACAGACGGUUCUUCUUCCCUCGUUCGCCGUCUUCUAAUACUAUAACGAUGAUAACCCUCUACGUCAGUUUAUACCUGUUCAAGGACAUAAAAUACCUUCCACAUCAUAACUUCGAAGAACGUGACUAGAUCUUACCUAGAACUGAAGCGGGUUCUCACUCUACACUUUCGCGUACAAUGUAUUCUUUAGUAAUAGAGACUUCGUAUGAGUGUAACCUGGUUCUUGAUCCGCUCCAAGUCUGAAGUCUCUUUACUAUUGUUCAGAGGAAAAGUAAGCUCGCCCCGCUACUCCCUUUCUUGACCAACACCACUUUCAGUCAAAUCACGUAGUUCCUAACCUCCAAGACUCUAAACGUUCUCCACUACCUCCUACAAAUCAAUGAAACCGAGGACUAUCUCAUGACCUUCUACUCAUGUUCGUAUUCGAAUAAGUUUUAGACUUCAAGGACUGACGUACUCUGUACAUGAGGGAGACAAGGAUUUAUAUUAAGGAAAAUCUCUAAGGUGAUAUCUCUGAUCUAAGCCUACAUAUAUCUGCGGAAAAUCUCAUAUACAAACGAGUAAAACGAGACAUGCAUCAGAUAUCACUUUAGAGGUUUUCUGAAUAUAAAUCCUUGCCUCCCUCAUAAAACAUUAGAAAAAAAAGAAGAAAAAGUAAAAGAAGAUGAAUAAAAGUCAAACUUGCUUGCCUCCCUUGUUGUACUUCUACCCAUCGUGAUAUGUCAAAAUAUCGUCCUUGUAAAACGCUCGAAGAAUUUAAACCAUAGAUACUUAUCAACUAAACAAGCAAAACUAAAUAUCGGAACAUCUACAAGUGGAGAGACGGUCUAAAGGUAUUACCUUACAGCAGGCC
RNAcentral lists this ribosomal RNA (3632 nucleotides) under Triticum aestivum (bread wheat). RNAcentral's name for it is "partial small subunit ribosomal RNA". The record is from RNAcentral. Lineage: Eukaryota; Viridiplantae; Streptophyta; Magnoliopsida; Poales; Poaceae.